GUGGGCGCUAUGGCUGUGACGUGGGUGUGACAUGCAGCGACAGGCCAGUCUCCGACCCAUCAAUACAGCAGCCCUCCUAUUCCCCUGCCGCCGCUGGACCUGCCCAGGUUCCACCUACGGAAGUCUUCACCUUUGAAAUGAGACUAGGUUUUUCUUUGGUGCUGUAUCCUGAACAACAGCUAAGCAGCGUGGGAACCCAUCAAAGGUUAGAACCGAGCUGUGGUGACCCCUAAAAGCCUGCUGAUCCAAUGGAGCCGUUCCCGAUGGCCACUGGGCUGCACAUCAUCAGAGGAAGAACAAAGGUGUCUCUGAUCCCGAGAUAAUGAAGAGUGGAGAAAGCAGAAGUUAAAUCUGAGGACAGACAGUUCUGGUUACCUCAAUACCGCAGAAUACCAAUCGGGUCCCAGCCAGAAAAGCGGAGACAGACAAGAUGUCCAAGGCUGCGGAGAACCCAAGAAGAAGAAGAACAGCAGUGUUUGCCGAACUCGCCCCAGCAACAGGGUGGUCGUCCCUGGCUGCCACACCGUAGCUGUCAACUCUGAUUUCUUACACACCAUUGGGUCACCGUGGAUGAAAAAUCGGAUGAGAUGUCAGGACAACAGCUGACGAAAAGAUACACUGUGGAGACUACAGGAGAGUGACCCUGUGGGAGCCGCAGGGACAGUGUGGGUGACUUCUAAACCACCACGAAGAGCUAUGGAUUUCUUCUCUUUACAUCUGAGCUGGGGAGGUCAGCACAGACGCUGAAGCGCAUCACACUGCCCUAACAGCAGCAGUGUGUGGUGACACACGCUUCUGUGACCACACUAGCAGAAGGGGAACUGCCUGGCUGCAGAACUGUUUCCCUCUUAAUGUAGAACUUUUUUUUUUUUUUUUUAAUGUACCAAGAAAAGACCCAUUUGUUAUCAGGUCACAAUUUACACAUAAGGUCUACGAAUCUU
Molecule: non-coding RNA, 941 nt
Organism: Peromyscus maniculatus bairdii (prairie deer mouse)
Lineage: Eukaryota; Metazoa; Chordata; Mammalia; Rodentia; Cricetidae
Source: RefSeq, a predicted model, not a curated record